AGCUAGGUCCUGCGCAAGAGAGGAUCGCGAAUUCCGCCAGGCCCGGAAGGGAGCAACGGUACCGAUAAUUUCUCUGUGCCGCGGGGGUGCCUAGCUAUC
This 99-nucleotide signal recognition particle RNA is filed under the name Deltaproteobacteria bacterium. Its description in RNAcentral is "signal recognition particle sRNA small type". It matches the Rfam family "Bacterial small signal recognition particle RNA". Rfam says of the family: The signal recognition particle (SRP) is a universally conserved ribonucleoprotein involved in the co-translational targeting of proteins to membranes. Archaeal SRP consists of a 7S RNA and homologues of the eukaryotic SRP19 and SRP54 proteins. RNAcentral also lists the same sequence under 1 other name. Lineage: Bacteria; Pseudomonadati; Myxococcota; Myxococcia. The record is from RNAcentral.